Molecule: ribosomal RNA, 694 nt
Filed under: Triticum aestivum (bread wheat)
Lineage: Eukaryota; Viridiplantae; Streptophyta; Magnoliopsida; Poales; Poaceae
Description: partial small subunit ribosomal RNA
Source: RNAcentral
CCGGCAUCUACCGGCGGUGCAGCUAGGGGAAGCGAAUAUUGACGCGGUUGCGCUUGGGAUCCAGCGGGAGCAGGUAAGGGGGGAUAAAGGGAGAAGCGGGGGAAGAAGAAAGCGAGCUUAAGCUCGAACCUUUGAGAGUGCCACUGGCGCGAGCAGUAGCAGUAAUGGUGCUGGUGGCAGCAGCGGAAGCGCACCCUCCUGCAGGUCCUCCGGGCGGUACCUGCAGAAGUAGGCAGGGCUUGUGCCUUGCCUCGGCUCCACCGGGCACGCGAGCGGUAGCUCGGUCUGAAGCAGCGCAUGCAGCAGCAGCAGGCAGUAGCUAAUGGCAGCAAGGCCAGUUGGGGCUGAGAGGGGCUGGAGUGGUAGACGUAGUGUUGGGGCACUGCUACGACUACGGGACACCAGCUGAUGCAGUGACUGCUGGGGAGGAAGAACAGACUCGUUGGUCUACGACCUCAGGUCCUCGAUCUCUAGGGCUCCUACUAAGAUGUACCUCAAGCCGAAGCUCCUCAUCGAUCCUCCAGGGUCCGUCCUCCGGAACGGAAAAGCUAGCAACGAUGAAAACACGAUCGGAAGAAUUCCGUUUGAACAAAUUGAAUACAGACAUGAGUCUAUAACAACGAAGGCGACUGAGCAGAUACUAGCUCGUUAACAUAAGCUCGGGAGCUCCGGGGACCGAACAUAAUACUACGAA